RNAcentral lists this transfer RNA (79 nucleotides) under Myxococcales bacterium. Its description in RNAcentral is "tRNA-Leu". It matches the Rfam family "tRNA". Rfam says of the family: Transfer RNA (tRNA) molecules are approximately 80 nucleotides in length. Their secondary structure includes four short double-helical elements and three loops (D, anti-codon, and T loops). The record is from RNAcentral. Lineage: Bacteria; Pseudomonadati; Myxococcota; Myxococcia; Myxococcales.
GCCUGGGUAGCCCAAUUCUGGUAGAGGCGGCCGGCUCAGACCCGGCAGGUUGAGGGUUCGAGUCCCUCCCCAGGCACCA